CGCUACGAGCGCACCCUUGUCCUUAGUUGCCAGCACGUCAUGGUGGGAACUCUAGGGAGACUGCCGGUGACAAACCGGAGGAAGGUGGGGACGACGUCAGGUCAUCAUGGCCCUUACGACCUGGGCUACACACGUGCUACAAUGGCUGGUACAGAGGGUUGCGAAGUCGCGAGGCGAAGCUAAUCCCUUAAAGCCAGUCGUAGUCCGGAUCGGAGUCUGCAACUCGACUCCGUGAAGUCGGAAUCGCUAGUAAUCGCGGAUCAGAAUGCCGCGGUGAAUACGUUCCCGGGCCUUGUACACACCGCCCGUCACACCAUGGGAGUGGAUUGCACCAGAAGUGGCUAGUCUAACUACGGAGGACGGUCACCACGGUGUGGUUCAUGACUGGGGUGAAGUCGUAACAAGGUAGCCGUAGGGGAACCUGCGGCUGGAUCACCUCCUU
Molecule: ribosomal RNA, 442 nt
Filed under: uncultured Gammaproteobacteria bacterium
Lineage: Bacteria; Pseudomonadati; Pseudomonadota; Gammaproteobacteria
Description: bacterial SSU rRNA
Rfam family: Bacterial small subunit ribosomal RNA
Source: RNAcentral